RNAcentral lists this transfer RNA (77 nucleotides) under Planctomycetota bacterium. RNAcentral describes it as "tRNA-Glu". It matches the Rfam family "tRNA". From Rfam's summary of the family: Transfer RNA (tRNA) molecules are approximately 80 nucleotides in length. Their secondary structure includes four short double-helical elements and three loops (D, anti-codon, and T loops). Lineage: Bacteria; Pseudomonadati; Planctomycetota. RNAcentral also lists the same sequence under 1 other name. The record is from RNAcentral.
GACCCUAUCGUCUAGUCGGCCUAGGACUCAGCCCUUUCAAGGCUGUAACACGGGUUCGAAUCCCGUUAGGGUCGCCA